AUAAGGUCCACUCUAUACAUACCCAACCCAAAGGUAAUGUUGUUACCAGUUUUGUGUUUUAUCUGCAGAAAGAGGAUAACAUGAGGUUAAUACAACAACCUCUCCCUCAAUGUGACCAAGACAAAGCAGCUGAUAGUGGACGACAGGAAAAGGCCGAACAGGCCCCCAUUUACAUCGACGGAGCGGAAGUUAAGCGGUCGAGAGUUUCAAGUUCCUUGGUGUCCACAUCACCAACAAACUAUCAUGGUCCAAACAUACCAAGACAGUCGUGAAGAAGACAUGACAAAACCUAUUCCCCCUCAGGAGACUGAAAAGAUUUGGCAUGGGUCCCCAGAUCCAUAAAAAGUUCUACAGCUGCACCAUCGAGAGCAUCCUGACAGGUUGCAUCACCACCUGAUAUGGCAACUGACCAUAAUGCUCUACAGAGGGUAGUGCGAAUGGCCCAGUACAUCACUGGGGCCAAGCUUCCUGACAUCCAGGACCUACAUACCAGGUGGUGUCAGAGGAAGGCCCCCCAAAAAAUUUAAAGACUCCAGUCACCUAAGUCAUAGACUAUUCUCUCUGCUACAUCGCGGCAAGCGCUACCGGAGCAUCAAAUCUAGGACCAGAAGGCUCCCUAACAGCUCUUACCCCGAAUCCAUAAGACUGCUGAAUAAUUUGUUUAAACACUGCUGCUCAGAUCACGUAGACUAACCUGUACUCCUGCACAUUGACUCGGUACCUGUACACCCUGUAUAGAGCCUCGUUAUUGUUAUUUUAUUGUGUUACUUUUUCAUUGAUUUGGUAUGUUUUACUUAAGUUUAUUUAGUAAAUAUUCUAUUAAGUACUUGGUGAACUGCAUUGUUGUUUAAAGGGGUUGGAAGUAAGCAUUUCACCGUAAGGUCUACUACACCUGUUGUAUUCAGCAUUUCACCGUAAGGUCUACUACACCUGUUGUAUUCAGCAUUUCACUGUGAGGUCUACUAUACCUGUUGUAUUCAGCAUUUCACUGUAAGGUCUACUACACCUGUUGUAUUCACCAUUUCACUGUGAGGUCUACUAUACCUGUUGUAUUCACCAUUUCACUGUAAGGUCUACUACAUCUGUUGUAUUCACCAUUUCACUGUGAGGUCUACUAUACC
Long non-coding RNA from Oncorhynchus tshawytscha (Chinook salmon), 1121 nucleotides. NCBI's taxonomy places the organism in Eukaryota, Metazoa, Chordata, Actinopteri, Salmoniformes, Salmonidae. The record is from Ensembl.